This 454-nucleotide ribosomal RNA is filed under the name uncultured Gammaproteobacteria bacterium. RNAcentral's name for it is "bacterial SSU rRNA". It matches the Rfam family "Bacterial small subunit ribosomal RNA", at positions 434 to 882 of the family's 1533-position model. Lineage: Bacteria; Pseudomonadati; Pseudomonadota; Gammaproteobacteria. The record is from RNAcentral.
AAGUUGGGAAGAAAAAACUCGCGUCUAACACAGUGGAGUCUUGACGGUACCGACAGAAUAAGCACCGGCUAACUCUGUGCCAGCAGCCGCGGUAAUACAGAGGGUGCAAGCGUUAAUCGGAUUUACUGGGCGUAAAGCGUGCGUAGGCGGUUCGUUAAGUCGAUUGUGAAAGCCCUGGGCUUAACCUGGGAAUUGCAGUCGAUACUGGCGGACUAGAGAACGGUAGAGGGAGGCGGAACUCCAGGUGUAGCGGUGAAAUGCGUAGAUAUCUGGAAGAACACCGAUGGCGAAGGCAACCUCCUGGGCCUGUUCUGACGCUGAGGCACGAAAGCGUGGGUAGCAAACAGGAUUAGAUACCCUGGUAGUCCACGCUGUAAACGAUGAGAACUUGACGUCGGGUCGCUUAGCGAUUCGGUGUCGAAGCUAACGCGCUAAGUUCUCCGCCUGGGGAGUA